GGGAGGCAGCAGUAGGGAAUCUUCCGCAAUGGACGAAAGUCUGACGGAGCAACGCCGCGUGAGUGAUGAAGGUUUUCGGAUCGUAAAGCUCUGUUGUUAGGGAAGAACAAGUACCGUUCGAAUAGGGCGGUACCUUGACGGUACCUAACCAGAAAGCCACGGCUAACUACGUGCCAGCAGCCGCGGUAAUACGUAGGUGGCAAGCGUUGUCCGGAAUUAUUGGGCGUAAAGGGCUCGCAGGCGGUUUCUUAAGUCUGAUGUGAAAGCCCCCGGCUCAACCGGGGAGGGUCAUUGGAAACUGGGGAACUUGAGUGCAGAAGAGGAGAGUGGAAUUCCACGUGUAGCGGUGAAAUGCGUAGAGAUGUGGAGGAACACCAGUGGCGAAGGCGACUCUCUGGUCUGUAACUGACGCUGAGGAGCGAAAGCGUGGGGAGCGAACAGGAUUAGAUACCCUGGUAGUCCACGCCGUAAACGAUGAGUGCUAAGUGUUAGGGGGUUUCCGCCCCUUAGUGCUGCAGCUAACGCAUUAAGCACUCCGCCUGGGGAGUACGGUCGCAAGACUGAAACUCAAAGGAAUUGACGGGGGCCGCACAAGCGGUGGAGCAUGUGGUUUAAUUCGAAGCAACGCGAAGAACCUUACCAGGUCUUGACAUCCUCUGACAAUCCUAGAGAUAGGACGUCCCCUUCGGGGGCAGAGUGACAGGUGGUGCAUGGUUGUCGUCAGCUCGUGUCGUGAGAUGUUGGGUUAAGUCCCGCAACGAGCGCAACCCUUGAUCUUAGUUGCCAGCAUUCAGUUGGGCACUCUAAGGUGACUGCCGGUGACAAACCGGAGGAAGGUGGGGAUGACGUCAAAUCAUCAUGCCCCUUAUGACCUGGGCUACACACGUGCUACAAUGGACA
Molecule: ribosomal RNA, 900 nt
Filed under: Bacillus subtilis
Lineage: Bacteria; Bacillati; Bacillota; Bacilli; Caryophanales; Bacillaceae
Description: bacterial SSU rRNA
Rfam family: Bacterial small subunit ribosomal RNA
Source: RNAcentral